Molecule: transfer RNA, 71 nt
Filed under: Marmota monax (woodchuck)
Lineage: Eukaryota; Metazoa; Chordata; Mammalia; Rodentia; Sciuridae
Description: tRNA.Ala
Rfam family: tRNA
About the family: Transfer RNA (tRNA) molecules are approximately 80 nucleotides in length. Their secondary structure includes four short double-helical elements and three loops (D, anti-codon, and T loops). Further hydrogen bonds mediate the characteristic L-shaped molecular structure. tRNAs have two regions of fundamental functional importance: the anti-codon, which is responsible for specific mRNA codon recognition, and the 3' end, to which the tRNAs corresponding amino acid is attached (by aminoacyl-tRNA synthetases). tRNAs cope with the degeneracy of the genetic code in two manners: having more than one tRNA (with a specific anti-codon) for a particular amino acid; and 'wobble' base-pairing, i.e. permitting non-standard base-pairing at the 3rd anti-codon position.
Source: RNAcentral
GCAGUUGUAGCUCAGAGGUAGAGUGCUUGCUUAGCAUGUAUGAGCCACUGGGUUAGAUCCUCAGCAACACA